Molecule: long non-coding RNA, 1684 nt
Filed under: Homo sapiens (human)
Lineage: Eukaryota; Metazoa; Chordata; Mammalia; Primates; Hominidae
Description: HSALNT0072548
Source: RNAcentral
CCAACAUGUGGCUGUACUGGAGUCUCUCUGAAUAUGGCAUCUGAAGUGAGAUCCAAAGUGGAGCUUACAGAGACCUCCAGGAGCACUGAAUGGCCAAGACAGGCUACCUGCUAGGCCCAUGGUGUCCACUGCUUUUGUGCAGCAACUGGGGCACGUUUUUAGCCUCUGAAUUAAGAGUUCUGCAUAGGUAGCCAUGGUGAAGUCUGGAAACACGUUCUCAGUGCCUCAACCAGCAGCUACAAGUCAGAGUCAAGCCCAUUAUGACCCCUUCUUCCUGCCUGAGCUUUGGCCCCAGAUAUUCUGAGAGGGGUUGGAUCCUCCAGGGCAUCGACCUCACAGCUCUGUCUUCUGUCCUGAGCUCUUCUCCUGGCAUGUAAAUUCAGGACUCAGAUAAGCCCUGCCCUUCAUAGCCACCUUGGAUGCUGCGUGACUACCUGUGAGUCAGGAGGACUGGAAAAGACAUUAGGGAGGGUACCUGUGUCCUACUUUCAAAAUGUUUUUCAGUAAUUUUAAAUCUUAAAGUGAUGUUAUGUUAAAGCAUAAUCAUAAAAUGGGAGUCAUUUGUAAGUUAAAAAAUAUUAAAACAUUAAUUACCAAACCUAAGUUUAAGUUUAUAUAGUUUGGCAUCUUAUUUUUGUAUGGUAUAGAGAAGCUAAAUAUAUUUACGUCUGUUAAUAAAAUAUAGGAAGAAACAUCUUUCUAAAAUUUAUAGAAUAAUUUAAUAAUUUUUAUCUGCAAAUACUGAUAUAAAACAGUUCAAAAUUACUUCCUAGGGAUUUCACUAAAAACUAGGGUUAAAGAGUUCAUGUAGUUAAUAUAUGUAAUUAAAACAACUAGAUGUAAGAAAAACAAUUCUGUAUAGUAUAUAAAAGCAAGAUAUGCUUUUGAUGAUGGAAGUUAUAAAGGCAUAAAAUGUAUGUUUGUUAAAAAAAAAUUUGUCUAGGCGAAGUUACUAGAGUUGCCUAGUUUGAAGUUUGUCCAGUUUGAAGUUAGUUAAAGGUUACUUAAGUUACUUAAAGGUUGUUUCAAAUUGAAGGAAUAAAAGGAAUGUAGAUAAAAUUAAAAUAUAAAAAGUUGAAAAAAUUUUUAAUUGUACGAGAUUAUAAAAGGGUUAUGGGAAUCUGGUGUGGUCAAAAGCUGACUGACAUUGAAUGAGUUUGUUUAUAAGGUUUUAUUAAAAUUAGCUUUAUUGAUAAUACACUAAUGCAAAAGUAAAAUUUGGUUUUCUCUUUUGAACAAAAAUUUCUUAUAGUGUUAAUAGUGAUAGCAAGAUAUUUUUGUUUACCUUUUGAGUAAACUGCAAAAAAUAAAAAAAGAGAGAGAGAGACAGAUUCUGCCUCACGCUGUCUUUCUCAGGUCUUUAGAUUGUUUGGAAAACUGCGUCUCCUCUAUCAGAGAGUAAUGUUUUUGCUUUUUAAAAUCUUUUCGUUAUCACUUUACCUAAAUAAAUGACUACUAUUUUAUGAUGACCUGUGACCCUAUUUUGAUCAAGUGUUUUAAACCUUUUAUAUUUGUUUGACAGGCUUCCCAAAAUCAAAUUUCCACUUCAAAAUUAAGUCUCUUUUGACCUUGAAUUUUAGAAUACUACAGAGAGCCCCUGAAGCCUCCAUAAGAGAGUUAACGGGAUUGAUAUGUUAAAUCAUAUGGAAAGCAUUGCCAAAUAAUAAAUGAUGUUUAACCUUCU